GAUUGGGCAUUUUUCAGAGCGGAAGGCGGCGGGGCUGUUGAAGACGAUCGUCGGGGUUAUUCAGGCGUGUCACUCGCUGGGGGUUAUGCAUCGGGAUCUGAAGCCGGAGAAUUUUCUGUUUGCGGGAGUGGAGGAGGAUGCGGCGCUGAAGGCUACUGAUUUCGGGCUCUCGGUUUUCUACAAGCCAGGUGAAAUGUUCUCUGAUGUGGUUGGGAGUCCCUACUAUGUCGCGCCUGAGGUACUGCGUAAAUAUUAUGGGCCUGAAUCUGAUGUAUGGAGUGCUGGAGUCAUCUUGUACAUUUUAUUGAGUGGUGUUCCACCUUACUGGGCAGAAACUGAAUCAGGAAUAUUCAGGCAGAUUUUACAAGGGCGCUUGGAUUUUGAAUCCGAGCCAUGGCCCAGUAUUUCUGAAAGUGCUAAAGACUUGAUACGUAAUAUGUUGAAU
RNAcentral lists this unclassified non-coding RNA (445 nucleotides) under Hevea brasiliensis (rubber tree). Lineage: Eukaryota; Viridiplantae; Streptophyta; Magnoliopsida; Malpighiales; Euphorbiaceae. The record is from RNAcentral.